UACGGAGGGUGCAAGCGUUGUUCGGAAUCACUGGGCGUAAAGCGCGCGUAGGCGGCCUCCUAAGUCUGUCGUGAAAGCCCGGGGCUCACCCCCGGAAGUGCACUGGAAACUGAGAGGCUAGAGUACCGGAGAGGAAGGUGGAAUUCCUGGUGUAGCAGUGAAAUGCGUAGAUAUCAGGAGGAACACCAGUGGCGAAGGCGGCCUUCUGGACGGAUACUGACGCUGAGGCGCGAAAGCGUGGGGAGCAAACAGG
RNAcentral lists this ribosomal RNA (253 nucleotides) under uncultured bacterium. RNAcentral's name for it is "partial 16S ribosomal RNA". It matches the Rfam family "Bacterial small subunit ribosomal RNA", at positions 524 to 776 of the family's 1533-position model. The record is from RNAcentral.